Molecule: non-coding RNA, 58 nt
Organism: Apaloderma vittatum (bar-tailed trogon)
Lineage: Eukaryota; Metazoa; Chordata; Aves; Trogoniformes; Trogonidae
Source: Rfam
UAGCUCACUUAGUUGAGCACAGCGCUAACAACGCUAAGGUCGUGGGUUCAAUUCCCGU